GCCGGGUGUGGUGGCGCACGCCUGUAAUCCCAGCUACUCGGGAGGCUGAGGCAGGAGAAUCACUUGAACCCAGGAGGCGGAGGUUGUAGUGAGCCAAGAUCCCACCACUGCACUCCAGCCUGGGCAACAGAGCGAAACUCUGUCUCAA
Unclassified non-coding RNA from Macaca fascicularis (crab-eating macaque), 148 nucleotides. It matches the Rfam family "Metazoan signal recognition particle RNA". From Rfam's summary of the family: The signal recognition particle (SRP) is a universally conserved ribonucleoprotein. It is involved in the co-translational targeting of proteins to membranes. The eukaryotic SRP consists of a 300-nucleotide 7S RNA and six proteins: SRPs 72, 68, 54, 19, 14, and 9. Lineage: Eukaryota; Metazoa; Chordata; Mammalia; Primates; Cercopithecidae. The record is from Ensembl.